AUGUCCCAGGAUUCUGAUAUUCAGG
RNAcentral lists this unclassified non-coding RNA (25 nucleotides) under Mus musculus (house mouse). RNAcentral describes it as "oocyte_clustered_small_RNA8263". Lineage: Eukaryota; Metazoa; Chordata; Mammalia; Rodentia; Muridae. The record is from RNAcentral.